UCGAACGAUGAAUCCCAGCUUGCUGGGUGGAUUAGUGGCGAACGGGUGAGUAACACGUGAGUAACCUGCCCUUAACUCUGGGAUAAGCCUGGGAAACUGGGUCUAAUACCGGAUAGGAGCGUCCACCGCAUGGUGGGUGUUGGAAAGAUUUAUCGGUUUUGGAUGGACUCGCGGCCUAUCAGCUUGUUGGUGAGGUAAUGGCUCACCAAGGCGACGACGGGUAGCCGGCCUGAGAGGGUGACCGGCCACACUGGGACUGAGACACGGCCCAAACUCCUACGGGAGGCAGCAGGUGGGGAAUAUUGCACAAUGGGCGAAAGCCUGAUGCAGCGACGCCGCGUGAGGGAUGACGGCCUUCGGGUUGUAAACCUCUUUCAGUAGGGAAGAAGCGAAAAGUGACGGUACCUGCAGAAGAAGCACCGGCUAACUACGUGCCAGCAGCCGCGGUAAUACGUAGGGGUGCGAGCGUUAUCCGGAAUUAUUGGGCGUAAAGAGCUCGUAGGCGGUUUGUCGCGUCUGUCGUGAAAGUCCGGGGCUUAACCCCGGAUCUGCGGUGGGUACGGGCAGACUAGAGUGCAGGUAGGGGAGACUGGAAUUCCUGGUGUAGCGGUGGAAUGCGCAGAUAUCAGGAGGAACACCGAUGGCGAAGGCAGGUCUCUGGGCUGUAACUGACGCUGAGGAGCGAAAGCAUGGGGAGCGAACAGGAUUAGAUACCCUGGUAGUCCAUGCCGUAAACGUUGGGCACUAGGUGUGGGGACCAUUCCAC
RNAcentral lists this ribosomal RNA (766 nucleotides) under Micrococcus sp. Evh18. Its description in RNAcentral is "bacterial SSU rRNA". It matches the Rfam family "Bacterial small subunit ribosomal RNA", at positions 62 to 844 of the family's 1533-position model. The record is from RNAcentral. Lineage: Bacteria; Bacillati; Actinomycetota; Actinomycetes; Micrococcales; Micrococcaceae.